Molecule: ribosomal RNA, 503 nt
Filed under: uncultured bacterium
Lineage: Bacteria
Description: bacterial SSU rRNA
Rfam family: Bacterial small subunit ribosomal RNA
Source: RNAcentral
GACGAACGCUGGCGGCGUGGAUUAGGCAUGCAAGUCGAACGGUAUCAUCCUUUCGGGGGUGAGAGAGUGGCGAACUGGUGAGUAACACGUAGGUUAUCUACCCUCAAGACGGGGACAACCCAGGGAAACUUGGGCUAAUACCGGAUGUGAGCAACUUUUAGUUGUUUGAAAGGUGGCGUAAGCUGUCGCUUGGGGAUGAGCCUGCGUCCUAUUAGUUAGUUGGUGAGGUAACGGCUCACCUAGGCAAUGAUAGGUAGGCGGCCUUAACGGGUGGUCGCCCACACUGGGAUUGAGAUACGGCCCAGACUCCUACGGGAGGCAGCAGUCGAGAAUAGUCUACAAUGGUCGGAAGACUGAUAGUGCGACGCCGCGUGAACGAUGAAUCCCUUCGGGGUGUAAAGUUCUUUUAUAUGUGAGCAGUGCUUCUUAUAUUAACAGUAUGGGGAAGAGAUAUUAGCAUAUGAAUAAGCAACGGCUAACUCCGUGCCAGCAGCCGCGGAAUA